Molecule: long non-coding RNA, 435 nt
Filed under: Vitis vinifera (wine grape)
Lineage: Eukaryota; Viridiplantae; Streptophyta; Magnoliopsida; Vitales; Vitaceae
Description: long non-coding RNA (VVIN_LNC004910)
Source: RNAcentral
GCAGCUCCUAACCCUAGCUCCUCGUUCCCACAGACGCAUCCCAUACUCCAUCACCCAAACCAUGCGAUCUUCGUCAACGGCUCCGGCGAUCGCCCCCUCCCCACCACCACCCACCGCCAUGGUCUACGACCGCCUCGCUGAAGCCGUCAAAUCCAAGCUCAAACAGCUUGAGAAUCCGGACCCUCGAUUCCUCAAACAUGGGUCACCACACCCAACCCUAAGUGACCAUACCAAGAUCCUCUCCGCACCCGAAACCCGUGUCACGACUCUGCCCAACGGUCUCCGAGUCGCCACCGAGUCCAACCUCGCUGCUCGCACUGCCACCGUUGGAGUCUGGAUCGACGCUGGAUCGAGGUUCGAGACCGACGAGACCAACGGCACCGCUCAUUUCCUGGAGCACAUGAUCUUUAAGGGCACAGCCCAGAGGACGGCACG